Molecule: unclassified non-coding RNA, 359 nt
Filed under: fungal sp.
Lineage: Eukaryota; Fungi
Description: partial internal transcribed spacer region
Rfam family: Eukaryotic small subunit ribosomal RNA (bases 1-46)
Source: RNAcentral
AAGUCGUAACAAGGUUUCCGUAGGUGAACCUGCGGAAGGAUCAUUAUUACGUAUCCAACGUAUAAACCAAACGCGAACUGUAUUCCGCUCAUUGCUGGAGUGACUAGGUUGCGCUGAUGUUCCACGUUAGUGUGCUGUCUUCGGACAGAGGAACUAGCAAUCUUAGUCUCUGCUUUUCUCGAAAAGCGGGACUCUGGCUGUGAGAUCGGUUAACAAACACUAACAAAUAUUAUAAUUAACCUUUUGUACCUUUACUGAACUAAAUAAUGUUUCGUGCUCUGUGGACUCGCAAGAGCUCACGGACUCGAAAUCUAUUUACGUAAUUCGAACAACUCUUAGCAACGGAUGUCUUGGCUCUC